Molecule: long non-coding RNA, 1061 nt
Organism: Synchiropus splendidus (mandarinfish)
Lineage: Eukaryota; Metazoa; Chordata; Actinopteri; Syngnathiformes; Callionymidae
Exons: 3
Source: RefSeq, a predicted model, not a curated record
GUGAACUGAGCAUGUGCAGACGCAGCUGAAGCUAAUAAGCUUCAGGAAGCUGUUGCUUGUUUUGUUGUCUUGUUUUUCUGAGGCUGGAGUGGAUGGAACAGUCUCUCCAGGUCAGCUGUCUGAUAAGCUCCGGCUCCACAGAUGAACCCAAUAAAACCAGCGUCUCGAUAACAGGGUGAUAAACCUACACCUGCGUCUGUCUGCUGAUGAGGACACGCCUCUUUUUUUUUUAAAGAAAAGGCCUAAACUUGUCAGUGGGGCAUCGCCGCCAUCCUUCUCACAAAGACGCGACCCAGUUUUGUGAGUAUUUCCACAGGAUUAUAUGAGGAAAUCCUGCUGCGUUUACAUAUCUGCCAUGUGUUCUCAUCAUGAGGAGCACGUACCAACCAGAGCCCACAUGAUAAGCAACAGAUGCUCAACCAAAUCCUCUUUCAUCCCCCCCAAAAUCAUGUGUUUUUUAGGAUCAGAUCAAAUAAUCUGUGUCAUCGUGGAGAAGUCCGAAUUGAAUUUCUCUGAAUGUCUUUUCACUUUAUGAGUGUGCGCUUUUCAUUCUGCUGUGUUCAUGCUGACUAGGGCCUUCACCAUGCCACUGACUGUAUCCAGGAUGAGUCAUGUUCAUAGUGAAGCAGAAAGAGUGACAUGUAUGAUCCGUAUUUACGUAUCAUAGCAGUAACUUAAUAAGAAAAACUGUUCAUUGAGGAAGCUCCGGCUUUUCCUCCUUUCCUCCUGGGUUUAUAAACUUGAGUCCAUCUUUGUGUCAGUCUACAACCGCAAUGUGAUAAAGUACAAAUAACUACAACUACAAAUUAAUUUCCAAUGUAAUUUCAAUUUUUUUUCACAUAACACAAUCUGUUUUUCCCUCCCCUUAUGCCCUUUUGUGAAAGACUUCACCUAAGAAUAUUCUCCUGAGAUUCAAACUUGCAAUACAAAUCUAAUUUAUUACGUAUUUUAUAAUGAAUUAAUGGCGAUUAAUCAUAUUUUAGUUUUUGAGGCCAUAUGAGUUCAAUCAUCCGCGUCUUCUGUCUAUCAGGAAUAAGGUGCAGUAAAAGUGUUACCUGUCA